This 548-nucleotide ribosomal RNA is filed under the name Helicana wuana putative variant HS-2008. RNAcentral describes it as "partial 16S ribosomal RNA". The stretch from base 106 to 484 matches the Rfam family "Bacterial large subunit ribosomal RNA", at positions 2073 to 2647 of the family's 2925-position model. Lineage: Eukaryota; Metazoa; Arthropoda; Malacostraca; Decapoda; Varunidae. The record is from RNAcentral.
CGUUAGUUUUUUAAUUGGAAUCUUGUAUGAAUGGUUGGACAAAAGAAAAUCUGUCUUUAUAUUAUUUAUUGAAUUUAACUUUUAAGUGAAAAGGCUUAAAUAAAUUAAAGGGACGAUAAGACCCUAUAAAGCUUAAUAUUAAAAUUUUAUUUAGUUGAAUUUUUUAUUAUAAAAACUUAGUAAUUAAAUUUAUUUUAUUGGGGCGAUAAGAGUAAAAUGGUCAUUAACUGCUUAACUUUUUAUACACUUAUAAGUGAUUAAUUUUUUAAAUGAUCCUAAGUAAAGAUUAAAAGUUUAAGUUACUUUAGGGAUAACAGCGUUAUUUUUCUUAAGAGUACUUAUCGAAAGAAAAGUUUGCGACCUCGAUGUUGAAUUAAAAUGUCUUUAUAAUAGCAGCAGUUAUAAAAGUAGGUCUGUUCGACCUUUAAAAUUUUACAUGAUUUGAGUUCAGACCGGCGUGAGCCAGGUUGGUUUCUAUCUUUUAACAAAUAAGAAAUUAUUUUAGUACGCAAGGAUUAAAUAAUUAAAAUUAUUUUAAAAUGUGAUUU